Molecule: ribosomal RNA, 253 nt
Filed under: uncultured bacterium
Lineage: Bacteria
Description: partial 16S ribosomal RNA
Rfam family: Bacterial small subunit ribosomal RNA
Source: RNAcentral
UACGGAGGGUGCGAGCGUUAAUCGGAAUUACUGGGCGUAAAGCGCGCGUAGGCGGUUUGUUAAGUCGGAUGUGAAAGCCCCGGGCUCAACCUGGGAACUGCACCCGAUACUGGCCGACUUGAGUGCGAGAGAGGGAGGUAGAAUUCCAUGUGUAGCGGUGAAAUGCGUAGAUAUAUGGAGGAAUACCGGUGGCGAAGGCGGCCUCCUGGCUCGACACUGACGCUGAGGUGCGAAAGCGUGGGUAGCAAACAGC